RNAcentral lists this unclassified non-coding RNA (272 nucleotides) under uncultured fungus. RNAcentral describes it as "partial contains 5.8S ribosomal RNA, internal transcribed spacer 2, and large subunit ribosomal RNA". The record is from RNAcentral. Lineage: Eukaryota; Fungi.
AACGCACAUUGCGCCUCUCGGUAUUCCGGGAGGCACGCCUGUCCGAGCGCCAUUACACACUCCAAGCUGAGCUUGAUGUUGGACGAUGUCUGAGGACGGAUCGAGAGAUCUGGUAAUGACACGUCUGAAACGCGUGGGUGCCAACCUCGGGACCACGAACGUAGCAAGACGCGAGUCAUUCGUUCGCAUCUGGGACGUGAGGCGAGGCCGCCAACCUCUUUUUUUUUUUCGAGUUUGGCCUCGGAUCAGGCGGGAGUACCCGCUGAACUUAA